ACGAACGGAUAAAGAGCUUGCUCUUUUGAAGUUAGUGGCGGACGGGUGAGUAACACGUGGGUAACCUGCCUCACAGCUGGGGAUAACAUCGAGAAAUCGAUGCUAAUACCGAAUGUGCUGAACAUCAUAAGAUGUUCAAGUGAAAGACGGUUUCGGCUGUCACUGUGAGAUGGACCCGCGCUGGAUUAGCUAGUUGGUAAGGUAAUGGCUUACCAAGGCGACGAUCCAUAGCCGACCUGAGAGGGUGAUCGGCCACAUUGGGACUGAGACACGGCCCAAACUCCUACGGGAGGCAGCAGUAGGGAAUCUUCGGCAAUGGACGAAAGUCUGACCGAGCAACGCCGCGUGAGCGAAGAAGGCCUUCGGGUCGUAAAGCUCUGUUGUUAGAGAAGAACAUGGGUGAGAGUAACUGUUCACCCCUUGACGGUAUCUAACCAGAAAGCCACGGCUAACUACGUGCCAGCAGCCGCGGUAAUACGUAGGUGGCAAGCGUUGUCCGGAAUUAUUGGGCGUAAAGCGCGCGCAGGCGGUCUCUUAAGUCUGAUGUGAAAGCCCCCGGCUCAACCGGGGAGGGUCAUUGGA
RNAcentral lists this ribosomal RNA (582 nucleotides) under Brochothrix thermosphacta. RNAcentral describes it as "bacterial SSU rRNA". It matches the Rfam family "Bacterial small subunit ribosomal RNA", at positions 62 to 630 of the family's 1533-position model. Lineage: Bacteria; Bacillati; Bacillota; Bacilli; Caryophanales; Listeriaceae. The record is from RNAcentral.